AUGUUACUAACAGAACAGAAAUCCCAAGUGACGAGUGGGAAUCUAGAGGUGAAUGGCUUUAAUCAGGGCUCACUUGUAUCAGAAAAUUGUAUAUACCAUUACAUGGAUUUAUUAACGCUGGGCUAUGAUUGUGGUGUUAACGACAUAUUUAAGAGUCAUAUUAAUGAUGUAAAUAAAACAGAUAGAAAUGCAAACUUUUGCCCAUUUUUCUUAAAGGAGAGACAUUCAGAUGCCAUCAGCCAUUGUUUUCUUGUUAUAAGUCACCAUUUGAAGUGCUUUGGACAAAACAGGUGGAGAUCUUCUCAAAGUGAAAAGAUAUAAGAUACUUCAGCAUGACAUAAUUCCUCAGAAGGAGAAGGUAUGCACUUUUAUUUUAUAAUUUGCUUGUUUUACACAUCUGCCUUGUCCUCCAGACAAGUGAAAACAAAUGAGAUAAUAUGGUCCAAUUCUGUCCCCCAAAAGAUGCAGAAUGAAAAGGAAAGAAGUUGUGAGUCUUCUUUAAAACCAGGCUUUUUCCUCUGAGGAUUUGUAGGGAUAAUCUGAAAACAAGCAAAACAAAACCAAACCAAACAAACCCAAACAAAAAAGAAACAAACAAAAAAUCCUGAAGAAUAAAGAAUAAGUAGUAGGUGGCUCUUAAGAUCA
This 645-nucleotide long non-coding RNA is filed under the name Anas platyrhynchos platyrhynchos (common mallard). RNAcentral describes it as "lncRNA (ENSAPLG00000016492.1)". The record is from RNAcentral. Lineage: Eukaryota; Metazoa; Chordata; Aves; Anseriformes; Anatidae.